CAGCCGCCGCGGUAAUACCGAGGGUGCAAGCGUUAAUCGGAAUUACUGGGCGUAAAGCGCGCGUAGGUGGUUUGUUAAGUUGGAUGUGAAAGCCCCGGGCUCAACCUGGGAACUGCAUCCAAAACUGGCAAGCUAGAGUACGGUAGAGGGUGGUGGAAUUUCCUGUGUAGCGGUGAAAUGCGUAGAUAUAGGAAGGAACACCAGUGGCGAAGGCGACCACCUGGACUGAUACUGACACUGAGGUGCGAAAGCGUGGGGAGCAAACAGGAUUAGAUACCCCAGUAGCCCUGUCUCUUAUACA
This 301-nucleotide ribosomal RNA is filed under the name uncultured bacterium. RNAcentral's name for it is "partial 16S ribosomal RNA". It matches the Rfam family "Bacterial small subunit ribosomal RNA", at positions 509 to 809 of the family's 1533-position model. The record is from RNAcentral.